GACGAACGCUGGCGGCGUGCCUAAUACAUGCAAGUCGAACGCUUCUUUCCUCCCGAGUGCUUGCACUCAAUUGGAAAGAGGAGUGGCGGACGGGUGAGUAACACGUGGGUAACCUACCCAUCAGAGGGGGAUAACACUUGGAAACAGGUGCUAAUACCGCAUAACAGUUUAUGCCGCAUGGCAUAAGAGUGAAAGGCGCUUUCGGGUGUCGUUGAUGGAUGGACCCGCGGUGCAUUAGCUAGUUGGUGAGGUAACGGCUCACCAAGGCCACGAUGCAUAGCCGACCUGAGAGGGUGAUCGGCCACACUGGGACUGAGACACGGCCCAGACUCCUACGGGAGGCAGCAGUAGGGAAUCUUCGGCAAUGGACGAAAGUCUGACCGAGCAACGCCGCGUGAGUGAAGAAGGUUUUCGGAUCGUAAAACUCUGUUGUUAGAGAAGAACAAGGACGGUAGUAACUGAACGUCCCCUGACGGUAUCUAACCAGAAAGCCACGGCUAACUACGUG
This 508-nucleotide ribosomal RNA is filed under the name uncultured bacterium. RNAcentral describes it as "partial 16S ribosomal RNA". It matches the Rfam family "Bacterial small subunit ribosomal RNA", at positions 28 to 507 of the family's 1533-position model. The record is from RNAcentral.